AAGUCGUAACAAGGUUUCCGUAGGUGAACCUGCGGAAGGAUCAUUACCACGUUCCAACGUAUCAACCAACCGUGAAUCGUUUUCAACGCUCCCACCACAGGGAAUGAGCUGAAUAGCAAACGUGCGUGUGCGGAGUCUUCGGACUAGCGAAUGCUAAACAACUUAUCUUCGGAUAGACAGCUGUAUUCUUGUGGGUGGCUUAUUCCUGCUACUCUUGGUUUCCGACACCGAUCGCGGAGUGGCAUGGAACAACACACCUAUUAACUAUAUUAACCGCUUUUGCUAGUUGACUUUUAUCUGUUGUUCUUUGCUUCGGCAUGGAACACACGUUUAAUUAUUUGAACGUUAAAAAUACAACUCUUAGCAAUGGAUAUCUUGGUUCUC
Molecule: unclassified non-coding RNA, 384 nt
Filed under: fungal sp.
Lineage: Eukaryota; Fungi
Description: partial internal transcribed spacer region
Rfam family: Eukaryotic small subunit ribosomal RNA (bases 1-46)
Source: RNAcentral